RNAcentral lists this non-coding RNA (30 nucleotides) under Homo sapiens (human). The record is from RNAcentral. Lineage: Eukaryota; Metazoa; Chordata; Mammalia; Primates; Hominidae.
UCCUUUCCAGAUUAGUAGCAGGCCCAGUGU